UUUUAAAGAAAAGACCCGAACCUAAGUGAUCUAAAUAUGAGCAGGUUGAAGCUUCAUGAAAGUGAGGUGGAGGACUGAACCCACGAUUGUUGCAAUACUCGGGGAAGACUUGUGUUUAGGGGUGAAAGGCCAAACAAACUUAGAGCUAGCUGGUUUUCUCCGAAAUCUAUUGAGGUAGAGCCCU
RNAcentral lists this ribosomal RNA (184 nucleotides) under Chloropicon mariensis. Its description in RNAcentral is "partial Bacterial large subunit ribosomal RNA". It matches the Rfam family "Bacterial large subunit ribosomal RNA", at positions 700 to 883 of the family's 2925-position model. The record is from RNAcentral. Lineage: Eukaryota; Viridiplantae; Chlorophyta; Chloropicophyceae; Chloropicales; Chloropicaceae.